RNAcentral lists this ribosomal RNA (255 nucleotides) under uncultured bacterium. RNAcentral's name for it is "partial 16S ribosomal RNA". It matches the Rfam family "Bacterial small subunit ribosomal RNA", at positions 524 to 776 of the family's 1533-position model. The record is from RNAcentral.
UACGAAGGGGGCUAGCGUUGCUCGGAAUUACUGGGCGUAAAGGGCGCGUAGGCGGGUCGUUUAGUUAGAGGUGAAAGGCCCAGGGCUCAACCCUGGAAUUGCCUUUAAUACUGGCGGCCUUGAGUAUGGCAGAGGUGUGUGGAACUCCGAGUGUAAGAGGUGAAAUUCGUAGAUAUUCGGAAGAACACCAGUGGCGAAGGCGACACACUGGGCCAUUACUGACGCUGAGGAGCGAAAGCAUGGGGAGCGAACAGG